GCAUAUCAAUAAGCGGAGGAAAAGAAACCAACAGGGAUUGCCCCAGUAACGGCGAGUGAAGCGGCAAGAGCUCAAAUUUGAAAGCUGGCUCCUUCGGGGUCCGCAUUGUAAUUUGCAGAGGAUGCUUCGGGAGCGGCCCCCAUCUAAGUGCCCUGGAACGGGCCGUCAUAGAGGGUGAGAAUCCCGUAUGGGAUGGGGUGCCCGCGCCCGUGUGAAGCUCCUUCGACGAGUCGAGUUGUUUGGGAAUGCAGCUCUAAAUGGGUGGUAAAUUUCAUCUAAAGCUAAAUAUUGGCCGGAGACCGAUAGCGCACAAGUAGAGUGAUCGAAAGAUGAAAAGCACUUUGAAAAGAGAGUUAAAAAGCACGUGAAAUUGUUGAAAGGGAAGCGUUUGCGACCAGACUCGCCUACGGGGUUCAGCCGGCUUUCGGGCCGGUGUACUUCCCCGUGGGCGGGCCAGCGUCGGUUUGGGCGGCCGGUCAAAGGCCCUCGGAAUGUAACGCCUCUCGGGGCGUCUUAUAGCCGAGGGUGCCAUGCGGCCUGCCCGGACCGAGGAACGCGCUUCGGCUCGGACGCUGGCAUAAUGGUCGUAAACGACCCGUCUUGAAACACGGACCAAGGAGUCUAACAUCUAUGCGAGUGUUCGGGUGUCAAACCCGUGCGCGCAGUGAAAGCGAACGGAGGUGGGAACCCUUUGGGUGCACCAUCGACCGAUCCAGAAGUCUUCGGAUGGAUUUGAGUAAGAGCAUAGCUGUUGGGACCCGAAAGAUGGUGAACUAUGCCUGAAUAGGGCGAAGCCAGAGGAAACUCUGGUGGAGGCUCGCAGCGGUUCUGACGUGCAAAUCGAUCGUCAAAUUUGGGUAUAGGGGCGAAAGACUAAUCGAACCAUCUAGUAGCUGGUUCCUGCCGA
RNAcentral lists this ribosomal RNA (907 nucleotides) under Penicillium herquei. Its description in RNAcentral is "LSU rRNA". It matches the Rfam family "Eukaryotic large subunit ribosomal RNA", at positions 38 to 964 of the family's 3401-position model. Lineage: Eukaryota; Fungi; Ascomycota; Eurotiomycetes; Eurotiales; Aspergillaceae. The record is from RNAcentral.